AAGUCGUAACAAGGUUUCCGUAGGUGAACCUGCGGAAGGAUCAUUAUUGAAUAAAUCUGGCGUGAGGUUGUAGCUGGCUCUCUGGAGCAUGUGCACACCUUCGUCACCUUUAUCUUUCCACCUGUGCACACAGUGUAGUCCUGGAUACCUCUCGCCGCAAGGCGGAUGCAGAGCCUGCUGUGACUUUGGCAACAAAGACCAGUCUUGCUCUGAAUUUCCAGGGUCUACGAUCUUUACACACCCCUAAACGAAUGUCAUAGAAUGUAUAUCACUGGGCCUUUGUGCCUAUAAACCUUAUACAACUUUCAACAACGGAUCUCUUGGCUCUC
RNAcentral lists this unclassified non-coding RNA (329 nucleotides) under Coprinopsis urticicola. Its description in RNAcentral is "partial internal transcribed spacer region". The stretch from base 1 to 46 matches the Rfam family "Eukaryotic small subunit ribosomal RNA", at positions 1786 to 1831 of the family's 1831-position model. The record is from RNAcentral. Lineage: Eukaryota; Fungi; Basidiomycota; Agaricomycetes; Agaricales; Psathyrellaceae.